CAUUUGGAGAAUAAUGAGUUGAUGGCUUGUUUUCAUGUCAGAUUACCAGGAUGUCUCGCUUCGGGCAACUGCCUACCAUUUCUCAGCAUCAUAACUACCAAAGACAUUUAUGGUCUAUCAUCUGGGCUAUGUUGAACACAUAAUAAAGCCACAUGGAUUGAUCUCAACAGUUCUAUUGUCACUUAACUCGAUCAAAGAUUCAUCUCGAAGUUCCAAAGUCUUUCCUUCUCAGUGGCGGACCCAGUAAUUAUUUUCUGGGGGUGCGAACGAAGGGUUCAACCAAAUUUUCAAGGGGUGCAGUCGGGAUUUUUACCUCGAAAAUACACAAAAGCUUUUUUCAAGGGGGCGCCCGCCCACCCACGCCAAAGCUUGGGUCCGCCCUUGUUCCUUCUUUAUAAAGUCUCCAUGCCUAAUAGUUAAUUAGUUAGAUCAAAAUUAGAAGUUGUAGAUCAAGUUAGUAGUUUAC
This 466-nucleotide long non-coding RNA is filed under the name Helianthus annuus (common sunflower). The record is from RNAcentral. Lineage: Eukaryota; Viridiplantae; Streptophyta; Magnoliopsida; Asterales; Asteraceae.